RNAcentral lists this transfer RNA (82 nucleotides) under bacterium. RNAcentral describes it as "tRNA-Ser". It matches the Rfam family "tRNA". From Rfam's summary of the family: Transfer RNA (tRNA) molecules are approximately 80 nucleotides in length. Their secondary structure includes four short double-helical elements and three loops (D, anti-codon, and T loops). The record is from RNAcentral.
GGAGAGGUAGGAAGUGGUUAUUCCAGCUUGUCUUGAAAACAAGCAGUCGUAAGGCUCGUGGGUUCGAAUCCCACCCUCUCCG